This 637-nucleotide ribosomal RNA is filed under the name uncultured bacterium. RNAcentral's name for it is "bacterial SSU rRNA". It matches the Rfam family "Bacterial small subunit ribosomal RNA", at positions 202 to 842 of the family's 1533-position model. The record is from RNAcentral.
UAAAGAUUCAUCGCUGAUAGAUAGGCAUGCGUUCCAUUAGGCAGUUGGCGGGGUAACGGCCCACCAAACCGACGAUGGAUAGGGGUUCUGAGAGGAAGGUCCCCCACAUUGGUACUGAGACACGGACCAAACUCCUACGGGAGGCAGCAGUGAGGAAUAUUGGUCAAUGGGCGUAAGCCUGAACCAGCCAAGUCGCGUGAGGGAUGAAGGUUCUAUGGAUCGUAAACCUCUUUUAUAAGGGAAUAAAGUGCGGGACGUGUCCCGUUUUGUAUGUACCUUAUGAAUAAGGAUCGGCUAACUCCGUGCCAGCAGCCGCGGUAAUACGGAGGAUCCGAGCGUUAUCCGGAUUUAUUGGGUUUAAAGGGUGCGUGGGCGGCCUUUUAAGUCAGCGGUGAAAGUCUGUGGCUCAACCAUAGAAUUGCCGUUGAAACUGGGAGGCUUGAGUAUGUUUGAGGCAGGCGGAAUGCGUGGUGUAGCGGUGAAAUGCUUAGAUAUCACGCAGAACCCCGAUUGCGAAGGCAGCCUGCCAAGCCAUGACUGACGCUGAUGCACGAAAGCGUGGGGAUCAAACAGGAUUAGAUACCCUGGUAGUCCACGCAGUAAACGAUGAUCACUAGCUGUUUGCGAUACACAGUAA